Molecule: small RNA, 520 nt
Filed under: Pan troglodytes (chimpanzee)
Lineage: Eukaryota; Metazoa; Chordata; Mammalia; Primates; Hominidae
Description: retained intron
Source: RNAcentral
AGAGCAUCUGUGGUUGUACCAGAAGAAAAGAUGUCAGAUGUGUACAGUAUUUUGCAGAGCAUCCCCCAAAGACAGAUUGAAGAAAUGCAGAGACAGGCCCGGUGGUUCUGGGAAGCGUACUUCCAGUCAAUUAAAGCCAUUGCCCUGGCCACCCUGCAGAUUAUCAAUGACCGGAUCUAUCCAUAUGCUGCCAUCUCCUAUGAAGAAUGGAAUGACCCUCCUGCUGUGAAGUGGGGCAGCGUGAGCAAUCCACUCUUCCUCCCGCUGAUCCCACCACAGUCUCAAGGGUUCACCGCCAUAGUCCUCACCUACGACCGAGUAGAGAGCCUCUUCCGGGUCAUCACUGAAGUGUCCAAGGUGCCCAGUCUAUCCAAACUACUUGUCGUCUGGAAUAAUCAGAAUAAAAACCCUCCAGAAGGUAAGAAGCCUUAGUGCCUCUCUCAGCUGGAUCGAUUUUGGAUGGCCAAAUUAUUCACAUCCUUUGUUUUAAAUAAAUUUUCCUGCUUUGUCAAUAGCAAUA